RNAcentral lists this ribosomal RNA (484 nucleotides) under uncultured Pseudomonadota bacterium. RNAcentral's name for it is "bacterial SSU rRNA". It matches the Rfam family "Bacterial small subunit ribosomal RNA", at positions 355 to 829 of the family's 1533-position model. Lineage: Bacteria; Pseudomonadati; Pseudomonadota. The record is from RNAcentral.
UGGGGAAUCUUGGUCAAUGGGCGCAAGCCUGAACCAGCGACGCCGCGUGAGUGAUGAAGGCCUUCGGGUUGUAAAGCUCUGUGGGGAGGGACGAAAGUGCAGUGGUCGAAUAGGCCAUUGUUUUGACGGUACCUCCUUAGCAAGCACCGGCUAACUCUGUGCCAGCAGCCGCGGUAAGACAGAGGGUGCAAACGUUGCUCGGAAUCACUGGGCGUAAAGCGCGUGUAGGCGGACACGUAAGUCAGAGUGUGAAAGCCCUGGGCUCAACCCAGGAACUGCAUUUGAAACUGUGUGUCUUGAGUGUUGGAGAGGGAAGCGGAAUUCCUGGUGUAGAGGUGAAAUUCGUAGAUAUCAGGAGGAACACCAGCGGCGAAGGCGGCUUCCUGGACAACUACUGACGCUGAGACGCGAAAGCGUGGGGAGCAAACAGGAUUAGAUACCCUGGUAGUCCACGCCGUAAACGAUGAGUACUAGGUGCUGCGGG